This 468-nucleotide ribosomal RNA is filed under the name uncultured bacterium. Its description in RNAcentral is "partial 16S ribosomal RNA". It matches the Rfam family "Bacterial small subunit ribosomal RNA", at positions 28 to 507 of the family's 1533-position model. The record is from RNAcentral.
GACGAACGCUGGCGGCGUGCUUAACACAUGCAAGUCGAACGGAAAGGCCCUGCUUUUGUGGGUUGCUCGAGUGGCGAACGGGUGAGUAACACGUGAGUAACCUGCCCUUGACUUUGGGAUAACUUCAGGAGACUGGGGCUAAUACCGGAUAGGAGCUCCUGCUGCAUGGUGGGGGUUGGAAAGAUUCGGCGGUUGGGGAUGGACUCGCGGCUUAUCAGCUUGUUGGUGGGGUAGUGGCUUACCAAGGCUUUGACGGGUAGCCGGCCUGAGAGGGUGACCGGCCACAUUGGGACUGAGAUACGGCCCAGACUCCUACGGGAGGCAGCAGUGGGGAAUAUUGCAGAAUGGGCGGAAGCCUGAUGCAGCAACGCCGCGUGCGGGAUGACGGCCUUCGGGUUGUAAACCGCUUUCGCCUGUGACGAAGCGUGAGUGACGGUAAUGGGUAAAGAAGCACCGGCUAACUACGUG